RNAcentral lists this ribosomal RNA (440 nucleotides) under uncultured bacterium. RNAcentral describes it as "bacterial SSU rRNA". It matches the Rfam family "Bacterial small subunit ribosomal RNA", at positions 338 to 795 of the family's 1533-position model. The record is from RNAcentral.
CCUACGGGAGGCUGCAGUGGGGAAUAUUGGACAAUGGGGGCAACCCUGAUCCAGCAAUGCCGCGUGAGUGAUGAAGGCCUUCGGGUUGUAAAGCUCUUUCGCCCGCGACGAUGAUGACGGUAGCGGGAGAAGAAGCCCCGGCUAACUUCGUGCCAGCAGCCGAGGUAAUACGAAGGGGGCGAGCGUUGUUCGGAAUCACUGGGCGUAAAGGGCGCGCAGGCGGUCCUUUAAGUCUGAUGUGAAAGCCCACGGCUCAACCGUGGAGGGUCAUUGGAAACUGGGGGACUUGAGUGCAGGAGAGAAGAGUGGAAUUCCACGUGUAGCGGUGAAAUGCGUAGAGAUGUGGAGGAACACCAGUGGCGAAGGCGACUCUUUGGCCUGUAACUGACGCUGAGGCGCGAAAGCGUGGGGAGCAAACAGGAUUAGAUACCCUUGUAGUC